CAAAGGGUAGUUUAUUUAAAAUCCCGGCUUUGGGGGCCGGGGAAGGGGGUUUAAUGCCUUCUCUUUUGA
Molecule: transfer RNA, 69 nt
Filed under: Lissemys scutata (Burmese flap-shelled turtle)
Lineage: Eukaryota; Metazoa; Chordata; Testudines; Trionychidae
Description: tRNA-Pro
Source: RNAcentral